Molecule: ribosomal RNA, 832 nt
Filed under: uncultured bacterium
Lineage: Bacteria
Description: bacterial SSU rRNA
Rfam family: Bacterial small subunit ribosomal RNA
Source: RNAcentral
GUAGCGGUGAAAUGCGUAGAGAUUUGGAGGAACACCAGUGGCGAAGGCGACUGUCUGGUCUGUAACUGACACUGAGGCGCGAAAGCGUGGGGAGCAAACAGGGAUUAGAUACCCUGGUAGUCCACGCCGUAAACGAUGAGUGCUAAGUGUUAGGGGGGUUUCCGCCCCUUAGUGCUGCAGCUAACGCAUUAAGCACUCCGCCUGGGGAGUACGGUCGCAAGACUGAAACUCAAAGGAAUUGACGGGGGCCCGCACAAGCGGUGGAGCAUGUGGUUUAAUUCGAAGCAACGCGAAGAACCUUACCAGGUCUUGACAUCCCGUUGACCACUGUAGAGAUAUAGUUUCCCCUUCGGGGGCAACGGUGACAGGUGGUGCAUGGUUGUCGUCAGCUCGUGUCGUGAGAUGUUGGGUUAAGUCCCGCAACGAGCGCAACCCUUGAUCUUAGUUGCCAUCAUUUAGUUGGGCACUCUAAGGUGACUGCCGGUGACAAACCGGAGGAAGGUGGGGAUGACGUCAAAUCAUCAUGCCCCUUAUGACCUGGGCUACACACGUGCUACAAUGGACGGUACAGAGGGCUGCAAACCCGCGAGGGGGAGCCAAUCCCACAAAACCGUUCCCAGUUCGGAUUGCAGGCUGCAACUCGCCUGCAUGAAGCCGGAAUCGCUAGUAAUCGUGGAUCAGCAUGCCACGGUGAAUACGUUCCCGGGCCUUGUACACACCGCCCGUCACACCACGAGAGUUUGUAACACCCGAAGUCGGUGGGGUAACCCUUACGGGAGCCAGCCGCCGAAGGUGGGAUAGAUGAUUGGGGUGAAGUCGUAACAAGGUAACC